AUUGAACGCUGGCGGCAUGCCUUACACAUGCAAGUCGAACGGUAACAGGGAGCUUGCUCCGCUGACGAGUGGCGAACGGGUGAGUAAUGUAUCGGAACGUACCUUUCAGUGGGGGAUAACGUAGCGAAAGUUACGCUAAUACCGCAUAUUCUCUGAGGAGGAAAGCAGGGGACCUUCGGGCCUUGCGCUGAUUGAGCGGCUGAUAUCAGAUUAGCUAGUUGGUGAGGUAAAGGCUCACCAAGGCGACGAUCUGUAGCGGGUCUGAGAGGAUGAUCCGCCACACUAGAACUGGGACACGGUCCAGACGCCUACGGGAGGCAGCAGUGGGGAAUUUUGGACAAUGGGGGCAACCCUGAUCCAGCCAUGCCGCGUGAGUGAAGAAGGCCUUCGGGUUGUAAAGCUCUUUCGGCCGGGAAAAAAUCGCAUGGGCUAAUACCCUGUGUGGAUGAUGGUACCGGAAUAAGAAGCACCGGCUAACUACGUGCCAGCAGCCGCCGUAA
RNAcentral lists this ribosomal RNA (500 nucleotides) under uncultured bacterium. RNAcentral describes it as "partial 16S ribosomal RNA". It matches the Rfam family "Bacterial small subunit ribosomal RNA", at positions 30 to 523 of the family's 1533-position model. The record is from RNAcentral.